UACAGAGGGUGCUAGCGUUGUUCGGAAUCAUUGGGCGUAAAGGGCGUGUAGGCGGUUUGUUAAGUCAUGUGUGAAAUCCCUCGGCUCAACCGGGGAACGACGCAUGAAACUGGCAAGCUAGAGUACCAAAGAGGGGGGUGGAAUUCCCGGUGUAGUGGUGAAAUACGUAGAUAUCUGGAGGAAUACCGGUGGCGAAGGCGGCUACCUGGCCCAACAUUGACACUGAGGCCCGAAAGCGUGGGGAUCAAACAGG
RNAcentral lists this ribosomal RNA (253 nucleotides) under uncultured bacterium. RNAcentral's name for it is "partial 16S ribosomal RNA". It matches the Rfam family "Bacterial small subunit ribosomal RNA", at positions 524 to 776 of the family's 1533-position model. The record is from RNAcentral.